AGGCCAUAUCACGCUGAAACAUCGGUUCCCGUACGAUGACCGAAGUUAAGCAACGUCGAGCCUGGUCAGUACCUUGAUGAUCGGUUAGGAAUACCAGGUGCUGUAAG
Molecule: non-coding RNA, 107 nt
Organism: Acanthosepion pharaonis
Lineage: Eukaryota; Metazoa; Mollusca; Cephalopoda; Sepiida; Sepiidae
Source: the annotation of a GenBank genome assembly